UACGAAGGGGGCUAGCGUUGCUCGGAAUCACUGGGCGUAAAGCGCACGUAGGCGGCUUCUUAAGUCAGGGGUGAAAUCCUGGAGCUCAACUCCAGAACUGCCUUUGAUACUGAGAAGCUUGAGUCCGGGAGAGGUGAGUGGAACUGCGAGUGUAGAGGUGAAAUUCGUAGAUAUUCGCAAGAACACCAGUGGCGAAGGCGGCUCACUGGCCCGGUACUGACGCUGGGGUGCGAAAGCGUGGGGAGCAAACAGG
This 253-nucleotide ribosomal RNA is filed under the name uncultured bacterium. RNAcentral describes it as "partial 16S ribosomal RNA". It matches the Rfam family "Bacterial small subunit ribosomal RNA", at positions 524 to 776 of the family's 1533-position model. The record is from RNAcentral.